RNAcentral lists this unclassified non-coding RNA (589 nucleotides) under Hevea brasiliensis (rubber tree). The record is from RNAcentral. Lineage: Eukaryota; Viridiplantae; Streptophyta; Magnoliopsida; Malpighiales; Euphorbiaceae.
CAGGGAUACCUCUAAAUCCUAUUCAAAUCUUCGGUCGCCGACUCCUCCACCAGUGACUUUCUCAACUUCUCGCUUCGAGACCGUCAAUGGAUCGCAUGAGUUCAAGAUCAAUGGGUAUUCCCUUAAUAAAGGGAUGGGGAUUGGGAAAUACAUCGCGUCUGAUACCUUUAUGGUUGGGGGGUAUGCGUUUGCUAUAUAUUUCUACCCAGACGGGAAGAGCGUCGAGGAUAACGCGUCGUAUGUCUCGGUUUUUAUAGCCUUGGCUAGCGAAGGGACUGACGUUCGAGCCCUUUUCGAAUUGACGCUGUUGGAUCAAAGUGGGAAGGAGAACCACAAGGUGCAUAGCCAUUUCGAGAGAAGGCUCGAGAGUGGUCCUUAUACGCUUAAAUAUCGAGGAAGCAUGUGGGGGUAUAAACGUUAUUUUAAAAGAACUGUUUUAGAAACAUCCGACUUCCUAAAGGACGACUGCCUUGAAAUCCACUGUGUAGUUGGUGUUGUUAAGUCCCACACAGAGGGACCCAAGAUUUACUCCAUAACAGCACCACCCUCUGAUAUAGGUCAGCAUUUUGGGAAGCUUUUGGAGAGUGGG